GACGAACCGUGCGAACGUUGUUCGGAAUCACUGGGCUUAAAGGGCGCGUAGGCGGGCUGUCAAGUCUGGGGUGAAAUGCCGCGGCUCAACCGUGGAACUGCCUUAGAUACUGACGGCCUCGAGGAAGGUAGGGGCAUGCGGAACUGGUAGGUGGAGCGGUGAAAUGCGUUGAUAUCUACAGGAACUCCGGUGGCGAAAGCGGCGUGCUGGACCUUUUCUGACGCUGAGGCGCGAAAGCUAGGGGAGCAAACGGGG
This 255-nucleotide ribosomal RNA is filed under the name uncultured bacterium. Its description in RNAcentral is "partial 16S ribosomal RNA". It matches the Rfam family "Bacterial small subunit ribosomal RNA", at positions 524 to 777 of the family's 1533-position model. The record is from RNAcentral.